Zophobas morio is the source of this 345-nucleotide long non-coding RNA. RefSeq lists it as uncharacterized. The transcript is spliced from 4 exons. Lineage: Eukaryota; Metazoa; Arthropoda; Insecta; Coleoptera; Tenebrionidae. The record is from RefSeq and is a predicted model, not a curated record.
CACAGUUCAGGAAACCCAAGAUCGCGACACUUUAAUGGAGGCGAUAAGAACUGGAACUUACUUGAAGCCUACGAAUGUAGUCGUAUUUGAAAAGCAACCUGUAGUAGCAAGCCAAUUUAUUUGUGGCGGAAGUGCAAAUCCUUCAGAAACAGUUGAUUCUAAUUCGAAAAACAAACCUUUAAGCAUACCGGAAAACUCGAAUGCCAAUCCUGAACAACGUUCGCAGCGUUCGCUUAAUUUAUCAAGAAAAGAAAAUCGUAGUGAACUUGUACCAAAGUCUCAUUUUGACUUAUUUAACGUGGAGCUUUCAAGAAAUGAGACCAGUUUUAGCAGUAGCUGCUGCAG